AUGGAGGGUCCCACUCCAGUAUCUGCUUUGAUUCAUGCAGCUACUAUGGUCACUGCUGGUGUUUUCAUGAUAGCAAGGAGCUAUGACGUCAUUCCUUGCGGCAACCACUGGAAUAUUACAGAACAAUCUAAAGAGGGUCAUAGCUUAUUCAACUUGCAGUCAAUUAGGCUAUAUGCUCUUUGCUUGCGGCAUCUCUAA
This 198-nucleotide ribosomal RNA is filed under the name Triticum aestivum (bread wheat). RNAcentral describes it as "partial small subunit ribosomal RNA". The record is from RNAcentral. Lineage: Eukaryota; Viridiplantae; Streptophyta; Magnoliopsida; Poales; Poaceae.